RNAcentral lists this long non-coding RNA (678 nucleotides) under Nicotiana benthamiana. RNAcentral's name for it is "long non-coding RNA (NBEN_LNC017471)". The record is from RNAcentral. Lineage: Eukaryota; Viridiplantae; Streptophyta; Magnoliopsida; Solanales; Solanaceae.
GACUAAAAACAAAUGAAGCAUAGACCAAGGCCAGAACAGAAUUAAUGAAGACCAUGUUUAGACUAAAACAAAAACAGCUUAUAAAAUGAUAAUUAACACUAAAAUUAACAGAGAAUAAAAAAAACUUAGCUUAAACUUCUCGAAGCUCAGGAAUCUGAAUGCAUCACUUAGAGUAUUUCAGGAACACUAAUUUUGACUUAGAGAGGCCGAGGAGGCAUUCGAGGAACAUAAUCUUGUUUUUGUGGUGAGGAGAGUGAGGGUGACUUAGGGUGUGAGUUUCGUUUGAUUCAGAAGUUGGGGUGAUUUUUGGUCGGAUUUCAAAUCGUUAUUUGAGUCGUUGGACUAUGAUUCGAGGGGAGCUGGUGUUAGAUUUGUGACGAGGGUGGAAAAGAGAUGCUAUGGUGUAUUUUUGGUGGCCAUCGGAGCCAGCGCCGCCGUGGACGGCGGACCAGUCACUCCUUUGGACGAAGAUUCGAGGAUUUUGGCCAGGGUUUGAAAGAUGUGGGUUACAAAAAUAGAAAGAGGAGGUCAAGGGGAUGAAACAGUGUAAUUUUGGAUGCUUUUGGGUGAUCGCCCCUGCCGGCGGACGGUGGAGAGACGGAGGUAGGCGGUGGCGAGUGGUGAGGUUGAACAAGGUACAAGGAAGAAGUUUUUUGUCUCUAAAUUUUGAAGGGUUUC